RNAcentral lists this ribosomal RNA (253 nucleotides) under uncultured bacterium. RNAcentral's name for it is "partial 16S ribosomal RNA". It matches the Rfam family "Bacterial small subunit ribosomal RNA", at positions 524 to 776 of the family's 1533-position model. The record is from RNAcentral.
UACGGGGGGGGCAAGCGUUAUUCGGAAUUACUGGGCGUAAAGGGCUCGUAGGCGGCCAACUAAGUCAGACGUGAAAUCCCCAGGCUUAACCUGGGAACUGCGUCUGAUACUGGAUGGCUUGAAUUCGGGAGAGGGAUGCAGAAUUCCAGGUGUAGCGGUGAAAUGCGCAGAUAUCAGGAGGAACACCGGUGGCGAAGGCGGGUCUCUGGGCAGUAACUGACGCUGAGGAGCGAAAGCGUGGGGAGCGAACAGG